GUCGUUUGCGCGGGAGCAACGCGCGCGAGAGCGUCUGCGCAUGCGCUUUGAAGUCCAGACCACACCAGGACCGUUGGUUUGGAAAGGACACAUGAGGGGACUGACUGUCUUGUUUUCAAAGCUCGUUAAAAGUGACAUUUGCUGUACAUUUGGAAUUCCAAAGCCUGUUCAGACAAAUUACGAGCUAAGUCAGUCCCCAACAAAGGCAGUUAGCCUUGUAGAAGUCGGUGAAUUAACUGAUGAAUACCCCUUGGCUGACUAUUUUAUUGGACAUGUGCAGAUGGUAACGUUAAAGAGAUUUUUCUGCUGCAAAGGAUGACAUUGAUGCAGCUUGUGAACUUGCCAUCAGAGGACUGUGUAUCUAUCUUAAUGAGGACCCUAAAGAGCUCAUUCAGGAGUAUGCGGACAUGGAAGAAGAUCCAGUUUAUUUUACAGUGUGCGAUUGAGAAGACUACCAUGGGCAUCUUCCUGAUAAAGCACACUGCAGACUAUGAACCCCAUGAUGUAGACAUUGUGCUAGAGUGUGUAGCAGUGCUUCAGGACCUCGACAGUGUGGAUUUUGCAACUUCAAUGUUUUUGGUCUAAUUUAUGCUCUUAACCUGCAGUACCCCACAAAGUUGCGUUUUACAUAUGAAAUUUAGCAAAAACUCAUCACGGAGUUGGAUGCAGGUGAACUCUCUAUCAAGGUCCAAAAUUUCACAUCUGAACUCCACCAGUGAGAUGGACUGAUUUUUGAAUGACUACUGAGACUACAAACAAUCAACCUCGGAAAAUUUCAGCAGCCUUCAUGCAAGACCACCGCAAAGGGUAAACCGUGGUCUUGUUGUUUAGACUGUUCCCCUUUGCCUGCUCUCGUUUCUUUAUCUUUUUUUUUUUUUGUCUGAAAUUGGCCCUUCUUUGGACUGGCUCAGAAGUUGAUUGAUUAGAGAGCUAAAUCUAUGAAACAUGGUUGAACUAGCAUAAAUAAGAUACAUUGACCCUUACCUAAACUAUAAACAGAUACGAUACUGUAUUUUCACAUUGUUUUGUAAUGUCUAUAUAUGAUUAUCUUUGAAACGAAAGCGUUUUUCUUGAAAUAACAGUUCCAGGUAGGGCUGCAUGAUAUUGGGAAAAAAUGACAUUGCGAUAUUUUAUUUUUCUGCGAUAUAUAUAGCGAUAUGAAAUCUAAUCUAUUUUUUUCUUACAAACAAAAAUUGGGUGAGCACACUUACAUUCUCAUUUUAAAUGAUGUAAUCAUCGACACCAUCGUGUCAAUUGAUUAAUAUGUGCGAGGGAGAGAGAGCAAUAUAGCGCUUGUGUUGUUUGAAGCUGGUGAGCUUGCGGCCGGGGCUCGCUCUCGCUCUCUCGCAUGCUCUCUCUCGUGCUCUCUCUCUCUCUGCCCUGUUAAACUGACAGGACUUAAAAACACAUAUAAAAGAUAAACUUUCACUCUAUGAUGGUUAAGCUGUACAAUUAAUCCGCGAAUCACAUUCGUCAAGGGCCGGGGAGCAGCUGGCCCGUACAGUUAAUGAAUAACGAAUCAACUACGACAGCCUACAUCGCACAUCCUGCAAUGUGACUAUCGUGCAGCCCUAGUUCCAGGUACUGGUGUUCUUGUGUACAGUUUUAAGGUUUCUGAGAGAAAUGAAAUAAAUUAGUGUUACAAUGUUGUAUUAGUUUUUAAACGCACAGUUACAUGCAGUAUAAUGUUACUUAUGUUUAUGAUAUUGUUUAAAAAAAAAAAGAAAUCUUGUAAAACUUAUGAAGGUUUAAAUAUAUUGUUGAUCUACAUGUUAUGCAUACAAAAUGAACUGUGUUUGUUUUUAUACUAGUCUAAUUAAAAAUGAUAUGUAUUUUUAUUAAAUUUAAUAAUCAGAGAAGUUAUUUAUGCUAUGCUUUUGAAAGCACAAUGUUAUUUAGACAUGCCAU
Molecule: long non-coding RNA, 1908 nt
Organism: Carassius gibelio (silver crucian carp)
Lineage: Eukaryota; Metazoa; Chordata; Actinopteri; Cypriniformes; Cyprinidae
Exons: 4
Source: RefSeq, a predicted model, not a curated record